This 440-nucleotide ribosomal RNA is filed under the name uncultured bacterium. Its description in RNAcentral is "partial 16S ribosomal RNA". It matches the Rfam family "Bacterial small subunit ribosomal RNA", at positions 338 to 795 of the family's 1533-position model. The record is from RNAcentral.
CCUACGGGGGGCAGCAGUGGGGAAUAUUGCACAAUGGGGGAAACCCUGAUGCAGCGACGCCGCGUGAGUGAAGAAGUAUUUCGGUAUGUAAAGCUCUAUCAGCAGGGGAGAAAAUGACGGUACCUGACUAAGAAGCCCCGGCUAACUACGUGCCAGCAGCCGCGGAAAUACGUAGGGGGCAAGCGUUAUCCGGAUUUACUGGGUGUAAAGGGAGCGUAGACGGCCAGACAAGGCAGAAGGGAAAGCGCAGGGCUCAACCCUGGGACUGCUUUUGAAAAUGCCGGGCUGGAGUGGAGGAGAGGUAAGCGGAAUGCGUGGUGUAGCGGUGAAAUGCGUAGAUAUUAGGAGGAACACCGGUGGCGAAGGCGGCUUACUGGCCUGUUACUGACGUUGAGGCUCGAAAGCGUGGGGAGCGAACAGGAUUAGAUACCCCGGUAGUC